GACGAACGCUGGCGGCGUGCCUAAUACAUGCAAGUUGAACGCUUCUUUCUUAUCGAACUUCGGUUCACCAAGAAAGAGGAGUAGCGAACGGGUGAGUAACACGUGGGUAACCUGCCCAUCAGCGGGGGAUAACACUUGGAAACAGGUGCUAAUACCGCAUAAUGCUUUUUCUCACAUGAGAGAAAGCUGAAAGGCGCUUUUGCGUCACUGAUGGAUGGACCCGCGGUGCAUUAGCUAGUUGGUAGGGUAACGGCCUACCAAGGCAACGAUGCAUAGCCGACCUGAGAGGGUGAUCGGCCACACUGGGACUGAGACACGGCCCAGACUCCUACGGGAGGCAGCAGUAGGGAAUCUUCGGCAAUGGACGAAAGUCUGACCGAGCAAACGCCGCGUGAGUGAAGAAAGGUUUUUCG
RNAcentral lists this ribosomal RNA (413 nucleotides) under Enterococcus italicus. RNAcentral's name for it is "bacterial SSU rRNA". It matches the Rfam family "Bacterial small subunit ribosomal RNA", at positions 28 to 420 of the family's 1533-position model. Lineage: Bacteria; Bacillati; Bacillota; Bacilli; Lactobacillales; Enterococcaceae. The record is from RNAcentral.